AUCAAAUUGUGUAUUGAAACGUAAAAUUGUAAAAUUGUACACGAAAACAAUAUUUCUUUUCAAUUCGGAACAUUUAACAACGAUUUCGUAUAACGACCUUUCAUAUUAUAUCCUUACACAUUUAUUGUGUGUGUAGGCCAUCAAAAAGGCUGUAUGAAUCGGAUAGUGGCACUGAUGAGAAUGAGACAGACACAGAGAGUAGGCCACCACAAGUUAUUGACCAAGCAACAACGCCCAAAGAGUCACAAAGCCUACUUUCAUCUCCGCCUCGCUUAUCUGCACAGGCAUUGCGAGAGGCCAGCAGUGAUGUGCAAAGUGCUUCUCCAAUACAAGGUGCUUCUGAUACACCCUUCCGUGGGCAGAUUAUUGGGCCCACUGCUGUUACACAGAUUCUCCGAGUCUUGGAGACAAUGCGAGAGAAGAAUCGUGAAAUUAAGAGGAUGGUGCAGCGAAUGCUGUUAUAAAGGUCAGCAGCAGAUGACCAACCGCUGCAACUUCCGAAAGAUAUCUCAUUCCCUAUUCGUUAUCCUGUGCAGAUGGAAGCAUUCGAUAAGCUUCUGGGAGAUCAGACAAUGCUCUCAUCUGUGGUGCGGUUCCUCUCAAUGUUUGGUAUGGCAGAUGUACGGGAAACUGUUGACCGCUUGAUGAAAGGAACCAUGUCAAAUGAACUGGCAAGAAUGUACAAUAUGAAGUGGCUGAAGGGGAAGAAAAAGUUUGUGGGCCUCUAGAUACUGAAUGUAUUAUAUGAAUGUGUCCAAAGGAACUUGCCGACAAAGGCUGCAACGAGGAAGGAUGUUGAAAUAGAGGUUUCAAAGUGGCUGGCUGGGGGGCGGGACCGCGAUGGGGGAAGGAAAGCAAGAAAUAAAGUGUCAGAGACCUUACCUGAAGAAAAUGAAGGAAGUGACUAGACAUUUUUUUAAUUUAAAAAUGCAAAUUUAUAGAGGAUAUUUGUUUGUUUGUGUG
Long non-coding RNA from Ruditapes philippinarum (Manila clam), 963 nucleotides. RefSeq lists it as uncharacterized. The transcript is spliced from 5 exons. The record is from RefSeq and is a predicted model, not a curated record. NCBI's taxonomy places the organism in Eukaryota, Metazoa, Mollusca, Bivalvia, Venerida, Veneridae.